GGAUGUGAAGGCGAUCUGGCUGCAACAUCUGUCACCCCAUUGAUCUCCAGGGUUGAUUCGGCUGAACUGGCUGGCUAGGUGGGUGUCUCCUUCCUCCUUCACCGCUCCAUGUGAGUCCCUCCUUCAGCUGGGUGCUCAAUGGCAUGGCCUUCCCUGAAUAGAGACAGACUGGUCUUUGGUCGAAGGUAUAUGAGUAGCUGCGACCCCCUGCUAGAACUGACAAACAAGCUCUCAAGGUCCAUUUCUAGGAGAACAUAGGUAGUCAAGCUUCCAAGACUCCAGAUAUUAAGGCGCUGCAUGCAGCAGUCUGCCUUUUAAA
This is an unclassified non-coding RNA of Erinaceus europaeus (western European hedgehog), 319 nucleotides long. Its record names the gene 7SK. It matches the Rfam family "7SK RNA". Rfam says of the family: 7SK was discovered as an abundant small nuclear RNA in the mid-70s but a possible function has only recently been suggested. Two independent studies have found that 7SK RNA binds the CDK9/cyclin T complex (known as elongation factor P-TEFb). P-TEFb activates transcription by phosphorylating the C-terminal domain of RNA polymerase II. NCBI's taxonomy places the organism in Eukaryota, Metazoa, Chordata, Mammalia, Eulipotyphla, Erinaceidae. The record is from Ensembl.